RNAcentral lists this ribosomal RNA (544 nucleotides) under Pelobates cultripes (western spadefoot toad). It matches the Rfam family "Eukaryotic small subunit ribosomal RNA", at positions 101 to 580 of the family's 1831-position model. Lineage: Eukaryota; Metazoa; Chordata; Amphibia; Anura; Pelobatidae. The record is from RNAcentral.
UUGAGGAGGCGGUGACCAUGGCGGUGGAGGAGGAGGAUAAGGUAGCAAACACUGUUUUUAUAUAUAUAUAUAUAUAUAUAUAUAUAUAUUAUUUUAUUUUAUUUUUUUUAAUUGGGGUAGCCCACAAAAUAUUGGGACAUAUAAAAAAAUACAACUCUGUUGCAGAGUAGCUGUUGAAAUAGUUGCGCAGGAACUUUGUUGACUUUAGAGAACCUCAGGCAAAUCGCACAUCCCUGUGGCAGCGACUUUGCAUGCGGAUGUCAUCCAUAUCAACUUUCGAUGCCAGUUUCUGCGCUUACCAUGGUUACCACGGGUAACGGGGAAUCAGGGUUCCAUUCCAUACAGGGACCCUGAGAAACUGCUACCACAUGCAAGGAAGGCAGCAGGCACGCAAAUGACCCACUCGCGACGCGGGAAGGUAGUGACGACAAAUAACAAUACAGGACUCUCUAGAGGCCCUGUAAUUGUAAUGAGUCCACUUGAAAUCCUUUAACUUUGAUCAGUUGGAGGGAAGUCUGGUGCAGAGCCACUGACCUGUGCGAGU